GUGUCAGCAGCCGCGGUAAUACGGAGGGUGCGAGCGUUAUCCGGAAUUACUGGGUUUAAAGGGUGCGUAGGCGGCUUUGUAAGUCAGGAGUGAAAGUUUGCGGCUCAACCGUAAAAUUGCUUCUGAUACUGCAUGGCUAGAAUUAGGAUGAGGUCAGCGGAAUGUGGCAUGUAGCGGUGAAAUGCAUAGAUAUGCCAUAGAACACCAAUUGCGAAGGCAGCUGACUAGACCUGGAUUGACGCUGAGGCACGAAAGCGUGGGGAGCGAACAGGAUUAGAUACCCUGGUAGUCC
This 292-nucleotide ribosomal RNA is filed under the name uncultured bacterium. Its description in RNAcentral is "partial 16S ribosomal RNA". It matches the Rfam family "Bacterial small subunit ribosomal RNA", at positions 505 to 796 of the family's 1533-position model. The record is from RNAcentral.